ACUCCGUCUGCCCAGUGUUCAGACUACCUGUUCAGGACUACGAGAUUGUACAGUAGUCUGCACAUUGGUUAGGCUGUGCU
Molecule: non-coding RNA, 80 nt
Organism: Anas platyrhynchos (mallard)
Lineage: Eukaryota; Metazoa; Chordata; Aves; Anseriformes; Anatidae
Source: Rfam